Molecule: ribosomal RNA, 492 nt
Filed under: uncultured bacterium
Lineage: Bacteria
Description: partial 16S ribosomal RNA
Rfam family: Bacterial small subunit ribosomal RNA
Source: RNAcentral
AGUGAACGCUGGUGGUAGGCCUAACACAUGCAAGUCGAACGGCAGCACAGUAAGGGCUUGCUCUUACGGGUGGCGAGUGGCGGACGGGUGAGGAAUACAUCGGAAUCUACUUUUUCGUGGGGGAUAACGUAGGGAAACUUACGCCAAUACCGCAUACGACCUACGGGUGAAAGCAGGGGAUCUUCGGACCUUGCGCGAUUGAAUGAGCCGAUGUCGGAUUAGCUAGUUGGCGGGGUAAAGGCCCACCAAGGCGACGAUCCGUAGCUGGUCUGAGAGGAUGAUCAGCCACACUGGAACUGAGACACGGUCCAGACUCCUACGGGAGGCAGCAGUGGGGAAUAUCGGACAAUGGGCGCAAGCCUGAUCCAGCCAUACCGCGUGGGUGAAGAAGGCCUUCGGGUUGUAAAGCCCUUUUGUUGGGAAAGAAAAGCAGCAGGUUAAUACCCCGCUGUUCUGACGGUACCCAAAGAAUAAGCACCGGCUAACUUCGUG